AUUGAACGCUGGCGGCAUGCCUUACACAUGCAAGUCGAACGGCAGCGCGGGGCAACCUGGCGGCGAGUGGCGAACGGGUGAGUAAUAUAUCGGAACGUACCCUGGAGUGGGGGAUAACGUAGCGAAAGUUACGCUAAUACCGCAUACGAUCUAAGGAUGAAAGUGGGGGAUUCGCAAGAACCUCAUGCUCCUGGAGCGGCCGAUAUCUGAUUAGCUAGUUGGUAGGGUAAAAGCCUACCAAGGCAUCGAUCAGUAGCUGGUCUGAGAGGACGACCAGCCACACUGGAACUGAGACACGGUCCAGACUCCUACGGGAGGCAGCAGUGGGGAAUUUUGGACAAUGGGCGCAAGCCUGAUCCAGCAAUGCCGCGUGAGUGAAGAAGGCCUUCGGGUUGUAAAGCUCUUUUGUCAGGGAAGAAACGGGCCUUUCUAAUACAGGGGCCUAAUGACGGUACCUGAAGAAUAAGCACCGGCUAACUACGUGCCAGCAGCCGCGGUAAUACGUAGGGUGCAAGCGUUAAUCGGAAUUACUGGGCGUAAAGCGUGCGCAGGCGGUUUUGUUAGACUGUCGUGAAAUCCCCGGGCUCAACCUGGGAAUGGCGAUGGUGACUGCAAGGCUAGAGUCUGGCAGAGGGGGGUAGAAUUCCACGUGUAGCAGUGAAAUGCGUAGAUAUGUGGAGGAACACCGAUGGCGAAGGCAGCCCCCUGGGUCAAAACUGACGCUCAUGCACGAAAGCGUGGGGAGCAAACAGGAUUAGAUACCCUGGUAGUCCACGCCCUAAACGAUGUCUACUAGUUGUCGGGUUUUAAUUAACUUGGUAACGCAGCUAACGCGUGAAGUAGACCGCCUGGGGAGUACGGUCGCAAGAUUAAAACUCAAAGGAAUUGACGGGGACCCGCACAAGCGGUGGAUGAUGUGGAUUAAUUCGAUGCAACGCGAAAAACCUUACCUACCCUUGACAUGGCAGAGAUCCCGGAGAGAUUCGGGAGUGCUCGAAAGAGAAUCUGCACACAGGUGCUGCAUGGCUGUCGUCAGCUCGUGUCGUGAGAUGUUGGGUUAAGUCCCGCAACGAGCGCAACCCUUGUCAUUAGUUGCUACGAAAGAGCACUCUAAUGAGACUGCCGGUGACAAACCGGAGGAAGGUGGGGAUGACGUCAAGUCCUCAUGGCCCUUAUGGGUAGGGCUUCACACGUCAUACAAUGGUACAUACAGAGGGCCGCCAACCCGCGAGGGGGAGCUAAUCCCAGAAAGUGUAUCGUAGUCCGGAUUGUAGUCUGCAACUCGACUGCAUGAAGUUGGAAUCGCUAGUAAUCGCGGAUCAGCAUGUCGCGGUGAAUACGUUCCCGGGUCUUGUACACACCGCCCGUCACACCAUGGGAGCGGGUUUUACCAGAAGUAGGUAGCUUAACCGUAAGGAGGGCGCUUACCACGGUAGGAUUCGUGACUGGGGUGAAGUCGUAACAAGGUAGCCGUAUCGGAAGG
Molecule: ribosomal RNA, 1483 nt
Filed under: uncultured bacterium
Lineage: Bacteria
Description: bacterial SSU rRNA
Rfam family: Bacterial small subunit ribosomal RNA
Source: RNAcentral